CUCUAAGUCUGUUUAUUCAUCCAGCAGCUUUGUAUCAUACAGUGUAUCUGCUGAACAAAUGAUCUGACCUCUCUUUCAGAGGACAGUCUACUGUAUGCUGAGGUCAACCGCCCCAAAAAAGAAAAAGCCAAGAAUGAAAAAGAGGACAGUUCGAUGUAUGCUGAGGUCAACCGCCACAAUAAAGGAAAACCUAAGGAAAACCAGGGACAGUUAAGUCCUGAAUCAGCUGAUGAGGCAGUUUACUCCGAA
Archocentrus centrarchus (flier cichlid) is the source of this 249-nucleotide long non-coding RNA. RefSeq lists it as uncharacterized. The record is from RefSeq and is a predicted model, not a curated record. NCBI's taxonomy places the organism in Eukaryota, Metazoa, Chordata, Actinopteri, Cichliformes, Cichlidae. The transcript has 3 exons.